GCUAAGGGGAUCUUUUGGCACCUCUAAAAAUGGUGCAGAAUAAGGGGUGGGCAAGCCUGGUGUCAGCCGCCGCGGUAAUACCAGCACCCCGAGUGGUCGGGACGAUUAUUGGGCCUAAAGCAUCCGUAGCCGGUCAUGCAAGUCUUCCGUUAAAUCCAGCCGCUCAACGGUUGGGCUGCGGAGGAUACUAUGUGGCUAGGAGGCGGGAGAGGCAAGCGGUACUCAGUGGGUAGGGGUAAAAUCCUUUGAUCCAUUGAAGACCACCAGUGGCGAAGGCGGCUUGCCAGAACGCGCUCGACGGUGAGGGAUGAAAGCUGGGGGAGCAAACCGGAUUAGAUACCCGGGUAGUCCCAGCUGUAAACGAUGCAGACUCGGUGAUGGGAUGGCCUCGAGCUAUCCCAGUGCCGCAGGGAAGCCGUUAAGUCUGCCGCCUGGGGAGUACGGUCGCAAGACUGAAACUUAAAGGAAUUGGCGGG
RNAcentral lists this ribosomal RNA (476 nucleotides) under uncultured archaeon. RNAcentral's name for it is "bacterial SSU rRNA". It matches the Rfam family "Archaeal small subunit ribosomal RNA", at positions 396 to 872 of the family's 1478-position model. The record is from RNAcentral.